GUGGUAUUAGCUCAACGGUAGAGCACUAGUUUGUGGAACUAGAUGUUGCCGGUUCGAAUCCGGUAUACCACCCCA
RNAcentral lists this transfer RNA (75 nucleotides) under Candidatus Gottesmanbacteria bacterium. RNAcentral describes it as "tRNA-His". It matches the Rfam family "tRNA". Rfam says of the family: Transfer RNA (tRNA) molecules are approximately 80 nucleotides in length. Their secondary structure includes four short double-helical elements and three loops (D, anti-codon, and T loops). Further hydrogen bonds mediate the characteristic L-shaped molecular structure. tRNAs have two regions of fundamental functional importance: the anti-codon, which is responsible for specific mRNA codon recognition, and the 3' end, to which the tRNAs corresponding amino acid is attached (by aminoacyl-tRNA synthetases). tRNAs cope with the degeneracy of the genetic code in two manners: having more than one tRNA (with a specific anti-codon) for a particular amino acid; and 'wobble' base-pairing, i.e. permitting non-standard base-pairing at the 3rd anti-codon position. Lineage: Bacteria; Candidatus Gottesmaniibacteriota. The record is from RNAcentral.